CAAAAACUUUCUUUAAACUAGUAGAAAAAAGUUCAUUAUAUAGGCUAUACUAAAAAGAUAAAGAGUGUCAAAUAUUUCAAUAUUGAAGAAUUUUAUUCAGUAAACUGGCCUCUUUUCUCAUCUAUAUUUGCUAUUUCAACUAAAAGAGUAACUGACUUUUGCAAUUAUUAACGAUAAAAGGAUAUUCUAAAAUUACAUUUUUGGUCAUUUAAUAACUUGAUUAUGUAAGCUGUAUUAUAAAAUGUUACUUUCUCUUUUAAAUCGUUAAUAACCAUUUCUUAGUUUUCAAGGAUCUGUAUAUCACAGUUUACAUGAUGGAUUUUUGUAAUAAAGUGGUUCACAUUGAAUCUGUUGCAAAGUCUGAAAGGCGUUUAAUAUAUGAUGACGGGUCAAAUAAGAUUUACUGCAAUAGUGUAGAAUUGGGGAGAGUUUUAGAAGAGCCUAGUUGCUUGUGGAAGAUUGUCAAUGUAGAGAAUGAAAAAUAUUUGCUGGAGAAUAUUGAAUAUGAGGGAUGCUAUCUAAAGAACUCUUUUGCUGGAAAGGGAGAAUCAACGCUAACCCUGGUAAAAAAUAUCCAACAGGCAACUUAUUGGACUAUUAAAAGAGUUUCAGAUAAUCGUCACGAACCGUCUUUUUACAUAAACAUGUUUAAUUCAAUGUACUCUUUAUGCAGCACCUCUAGAGCAUGCGUAAAAAGAAUUAACAAUUCAAAUUCUGAUAUGACAUUUCACCAGUGGAAAAUUCGUAUCAUUCGUGUUUCAUGCGAUUGGGUAGUUGUUUCAGAACAGAGAAACGAGACGAGAGAUUUAUUAAGGAUAGACGAGGAGUUAACAUAUAGUGUUAAAAAUACACGGUGUCCGAAAAAAAGAGCAAAUUUCAUGGAAAAGCGUACAAUUUGCAAACUCCUCUCAAAAUUGACGGAAAUAGCAGACCAUUGCGCAUAUUUUAAAAGAGAAUUAGGAUUUUCUAUUACAUCAUCAGACAUAUGGCUUGAAGAGAGUUCUUCCAAAGCGAAGAUAAUUUUACAUGCAAACGAAGAACUUAAAAUACGACAAAUAAGAGCAAUCUGUGGAAAUUAUGUAAUUAAAGCACCAACUGUUCAAUUUAUAACAAAAAAAUUUGAAACUGAUACCAUUAUGCGUGAUGUUUGAUUACUCUAAUACAUGCUAUUCUACACUUUAGUAUAUUUGUACCAUUUACAGCUUUAACAAUUGAUUUGAUAUUCAAUUUACUUAACAGAUGAAAUUUUAUUUUUAUAAUUGCUAUUAAAAGAAACAAAACUACAAGAUAUCGACAAAGAGAUAACCAAUUUUCUCAAUAUAGAG
RNAcentral lists this unclassified non-coding RNA (1325 nucleotides) under Dimorphilus gyrociliatus. Its description in RNAcentral is "dgyrCDS2865". Lineage: Eukaryota; Metazoa; Annelida; Polychaeta; Dinophilidae. The record is from RNAcentral.